GUGUAGCGGGUGGAUGUGAACCUUCGGAAAGCGCUCUUGAUUGCUGGCAUCCCCCAGACCUGUCAUUUGGCGGAAAUCGAGGAGGCUCUGCAGGCUGGUUGAGCUCCCUUGGGCGAGUACAGACUGCUCGAGAGGACAUUCCGGAGGUCCGAGACCAGGAAUGUAGGGCUGACUGAGGAGACCAGUCAUGCUCUGGUCCCUAAGGAGGUACCUGGAAAAGGGGUUGUCUGGAGAGUGAUUUUUAAGCCCCCAGACCCGGAUAGUGAGUUUUUAAGCAAAUUAAAUGAAUUCUUAGAGAGGGCGAGUUCCCCAGAGCUCUUGGGUAUGGAAAUACCCUUUUGACCUAGACCAGGAUAUGAUCCCAAAAAUUCAGGCCCCUUAUGUUGGCACAGGCAUUAAAUUAGGCUCUUCAGCCUGCCCUGCAAUACCUGAAAUAAAAAUGCUGAGAGUAUUUUCGGGCAGUGAUCCUCCAGAACCAGAAGAAGAAGAAUUUUAAUCCUGGCUGUUUCAUACCACUCAAAUGAUGAAGACAUGGAAGGUAUCAGAUGCAGAGAAAAGAAGGCGAUUGCUAGAGAGCCUUAGAGGCCCAGCGUUAUUCGUGUCCUCAAGAUGAACAAUCUUCUAAUUACAGUCCUUGAAUGCCUGCGGGCUCUGGAGCAGGUGUUUGGUUUUAUUGAUAAUCUUAGGGAAUUGCAGGUCAAAUAUCUGACCACUUACCAGAAGGAUGAAGAAAAAUUGUCUGCUUAUGUACUAAGGUUGGAGCCUUUAUUACAGGAACUGGUAGAGACGAGCAAUGAAAAGUUGUGAAUCGGGCCCACCUAGACUGCUGGAGCAGCCUGCAGAACACUUCGCAGGAAGCUUGCUCUGCCAGAGGAUGGCCCAGCCCCUGCCUUGCGGAGUUACCAGCACUGAUGAAGGAUGAAGAGGCGGCUAGGAGAAGGCCCUUCUCCAGGCAGGAUUAGAGAGACAUUUCAGCUGAAUCUUAAGAAACCAGGAAGGGAUAUCUGGUGAUGUGCAGAGCCUCAAAGUAGAAGAGUCCAUAUACUCCAGUUGACGGCAUUAGACAAUCCCCACUUUGUGCUGCCAAGUAACUCAUUUUGUACAGUUGUCAGCAUAAAUUCGUUGUCAUUUCUGUGCCUACUUAAUGUCUCAAAUGUGUCGUUGACAAGGAAGGAUGUAGUUCUGCACUGGCACUUACAUACUUAAAUUUGCCCCUGUGAAUUCAUCACACAAUAUUGUAUAAAAAGCCCAUCACUACAUACAUAUGGUCCUCUGCAGAGGACAGGCAAGGCUCAGUCAGGUACAUAGGCUGACCAGAUCGCAUCAAGAUGUCAGCCAGUGUGGUAACAGGUAUGUGAUGUGAUAAUGUACCACAGAUAAGUUUUUACCCUGUGUUUAUUAUGAAGAUCAUGAGCUGUGGUUAAGAUACUAAGUUAUUUUCUGAGUGAAUCAGAAUUUUAUUGAUUCUGUGCAGUCAAGAGUAAGUGCUGAGGUUGAUAGGUUUGCAGCCGCCAUCUCUGAAGUCAGGUUUCUGAUGUGUGUCAUCAAAACAUCAGUUCUAAGUAUCAUUUCAAUAGGUGUUGUAAAAAUAUAGACAUGAAAUUCUAAAAUAAAGGAAUGCUAAUAAAAUUACCUCCUUUAUCUGUUUUGUUAUAUCAAAGUUCCCAGAGAGAUUUUAUUUGAACAAAGGGUUUCAAAAGCAUGAAUCUGAAGUCCCCUGAGUUGACACAAUCACUUAGAUAUUUUUCCUCUUGGUGCCCAAGGGGUGGGGUACAAAGUAGUUUUCUAAGAUAGUUGGAGGGACCUUCUACUGAAGUACAAUGGGAUGAGAAAACAGUACACGAAUGCACAUAGUAGUUCUAAGUGCAUCAGUGCAUUGAAGUUGGAGGGUGAAAGGAAAGAAAGGAACGUUGCGUGCCUCUGCAUGGCAGACUGUACUAGAAAGUUUUCCAUGUACUUUCUCAUAUAAUCCUCAUUACAGUCCUGCAGUAUAGGAAACCCCAGUUUCACAUUUGUGGAAAUGGGCCCAGAAAAGGUAAGAAAAACUUGGUCAAAAGUAAACAACUAGUAAGUGGCAGGGUCACAUCCAUCUGCCUUUGCAAGGGCCAUAUUCUUUCCACUGUCAGAAAAGAAGCAUCAUAGGGUAUCUAUCCAUCAAACUCAAGAAAAGCAGGGCAGAUGUUAACUGUAUUUCAUAAGUGUAAUAAGGUAUACAUUAGUCUGGUAUGCAUUAUUCUGAAUCAUUGCAAACUAGACACUAUUAGAAAUGGAGACUAAGAACUUUUAAGACCUAGAGACAGCCAGGAGGGUGAGCCUGGGUUAGUGAUUUGGUCCCUAAAAAAAGGUGAAAGUCAUAGCAUAAAGAAAGUUUGAAAAUUGCUGAAAAAUAGGAUUAAAUAUUUAAUAAAGAGCUUUUGGGGGUGUACACCACUGGUUUAGAUUCAGAGCCAUAGUGAAAUGUUUCUUUUAAGACUAAAUGCCACAGUUUCAUUUUUCAUAAAUUCUCCCCUUAUGGAACGCAAAAUACCAAACUGAUGUCAUACACCAUAAAUACAAUUUUCACUUGUCAAUUAUAUGUCAACUGAGUGAUUAAAAGAGCUAAAUCAUAGAUGACAAAUGGACUCUGGGUAAAUUUGAAGGUGUAAUUCUGACCUUGUUUAUGUGUGUGUAGUCAUUUAUUUGCCACCUUAGAUGCACGAAGAGGUAACUGCAUUUUGCUGGUGAACGUACAUUGUGUGUGCAUAUCUAGGUGUUAUUAAACACUGCACCUCUUAUAUAUGUGAGGCACUGAGCCAGGGGGUUUAGACUAUAUGGUUAAAUUUAGGUUAUAAUCCCCUCCAUGGAGGUCUAUCCAGAGUCAAUAGCUGACACUGAAUGCUUGCCAUGGGCCAGGCACAGCACCAUUGAACACAUUUGAUUCUCCAGCAAUACUAAGAGGGAAGGCCUUUUGUUUUCCCAUUGUACAGAUGAAAUUGAGGCACAGAGAAGGAACUUGCCCAGGUUUUCUCACUAAUAAGUGGCAGGGAAGGGAUGUACACUCAGCCUGUCUCUAAUUCAGAGACCUUGCUGUUAAUCUAGUCCGUGCUGCCUUGUUAAAUCCUCACAGAAGCCUGUGAGAAACCAUCACUUCCUCCGUUUUGCGGAUGAGGCUUCAGUGCUGGGGGAAGGGCACAUAGUCUGAUUGCAGAGAGCUGAAGGUGCGCUGACAUAGGCAUCUAGAGUGACAAAUGUACCCUGGUAAUGUAAGAUGUCAGCAAGAGGAAGCUAGGGAAGCUGGGAUUGGAUUUCACUUCUGCUUGAAGAUGGAAGGAGUUAAUUGAAGGGACUGGACUGCAGGACACCCCUGAAGGAGGACACUGGUGACACAAACCUGGACACUUCUCCAGCUUGCCACUGGGGCAGGGGUCCUAUCCCUACUAGGUGGCCUGAUGCUCACAUUGCCGCUCUCCGCCGCUAGCCCCAUUCUCGUCCUCCGAUUCCAUCCUCAGGCACAACGGCAACAGUAACAGCAGCCUCUGUGCCAGGCAUCGUGCUGGAGGCCUUGCCUAUGUGAUCUAUUUUUAGUCCUUUUUUCAUCCAUUUUACAGAUGGGGAUCCCAAGUCUUAUAAAAGUGACCGAACCUACCCAAGUUCACACGACAGGGAUCAAGGCCAGAACUUGGACCCCGGCAGACAGCUGCACUGUCCUGCUCUGAGCCUUUUACCCCUCACUUCACCUCUGGCUGUUGGCCUGAGGCUGCCCACGCUCUGGACACGCUCUGCUAGUUCUGGACACGUUCAGGAAAUAGGGUCUCAGGCUCACAAAAGAUAACACUGCCAAGCUUUUAAAAAAGUACUAUCAUGUGCUAUUUAACCCAUACAAAAGAGAAUAUGUAACAUACAUAUGUAAGUUAUAAAACAUAAUAAUAAAACAACCCCCAUACCCCUAAACCUACCUUCCAAUUUAAAUAUACACUAACAAGUGUUUUUUAAUGGGCUUAAUCUUUAUAUUUUUACAGAUGUAUUUUCAACAUGUAAAUUUUUCUGUUUCAUUUUUCUAAUUUAAUCUCCUUUCUCAAUGUAAUCUCCUAACUGGAAACCUGAAAUAUCUCCUGUAGGUUAACCAAUUGUCUCCCUCUGUCAUACUUUCUCUGAGUCCCUGCCUACUGUGUGGUUUUUUUCAAAUCACAGUUCUAUUAGCAAAUCCUGGGGAUUUUACCUUCAAAAUACAUCACAAAUCGAACCGCCUCCCACCUCCUCUUCUAAUCCAAGGUUCUGUCAUGGCGGGACCACUGUAGUAGCCUCCUAGUUACUCUCCAUCAGGCAACCACAGUAAGCUUUAAAAAAAGAAAGGGUUGGGGGUGGGGCAUCAGAUUCUCUCUCUCUCCUGCUUGGUCCUGACCCCAAGCACAUGCCUGUCCUGCCAGCUCAAUCCUAAAUCUAGAAUUGCAGUUCCCUCCAAGCUAGCUAUGGCAAAACCACAAGCAAGUCCUGAGGAGAUG
Manis pentadactyla (Chinese pangolin) is the source of this 4481-nucleotide long non-coding RNA. RefSeq lists it as uncharacterized. The transcript is spliced from 3 exons. Lineage: Eukaryota; Metazoa; Chordata; Mammalia; Pholidota; Manidae. The record is from RefSeq and is a predicted model, not a curated record.